This 469-nucleotide ribosomal RNA is filed under the name uncultured bacterium. RNAcentral's name for it is "partial 16S ribosomal RNA". It matches the Rfam family "Bacterial small subunit ribosomal RNA", at positions 29 to 523 of the family's 1533-position model. The record is from RNAcentral.
AACAAACGCUGGCGGCGUGCCUAAUACAUGCAAGUCGAACGAGGUAGCAAUACCUAGUGGCGCACGGGUGAGUAACGCGUGGAUAAUCUGCCUUUGAGUGGGGGAUAACUAGUCGAAAGAUUAGCUAAUACCGCACAAGACCACAGGAACUGAGGUUCUAGGGGUUAAAGGUUUUUCGCUCAUAGAUGAGUCCGCGUGAGAUUAGCUAGUUGGUGAGGUAACGGCUCACAAAGGCGACGAUCUCUAACUGGUCUGAGAGGAUGAUCAGUCACACUGGAACUGAGACACGGUCCAGACUCCUACGGGAGGCAGCAGUAGGGAAUAUUGCACAAUGGAGGAAACUCUGAUGCAGCGACGCCGCGUGAGUGAUGAAGGCUUUCGGGUCGUAAAGCUCUGUCACAGGGGAAUAACACAAUGAAUGUACCCUGUAAGAAAGGAUCGGCUAACUUCGUGCCAGCCGCCGCCGUAA